AUAUAAGUAAGUUGGUCUAUCUUCAAGCCAUUCUUAAAGAAAUUGAGAAAAUAAAGGCUAAUCUUAAAAGAUAAAAACACCCAAGAGGGGGGUGAAUUGAGUUUUUAAAAAUUAUUUUUAAACACAACAAAUUUAAGCAUAAGAGAAUCAAAUAUAAAAAGAUAAGGUUAGAGAAAUCAAACUCAGAUUUUAUAAUGGUUCAACACUUCCUUACCUACAUCCACUCUCCUCAAGCUCUUAACCGAGUGAGGGUUCCACUAACAUGAAGUUUCAACCAAACUUCUAAUUACAUUUACACUUAGAUUCCGGCUCCAAUGGGCUCUUACACAAUCUCUUCAAGUUUCAACUCACUUAAAGACUUUAACACUAAGUUAACAAGUAUGAAUCUCUCAACUUAGCUCAACAAUGACUCAAAUACAACCCAAAGCUAGGAUGAAUCACAAAGGUGCACUAAAGGAUAUGUAAAUGGAGAUUUAAUGCACCAAGAAAAGAAAUGAGAGCUUUUAAGGCAAGAACAAAUAGGUAAGCAAAUAAAUGCAUGUGUUCUCUUACUCAUAAAUGAAGUGGAACUCUUUAUUUAUAGGUUUUUAACAUUAUAAGCCAAAAAACCAAAAAAACAGUCUCAAUCGGUUGAGCUGAGGGUCAAUCGGUUCACUAGCCAUUGCAGCAUUUAAUGCUUGUCAGGUGACAGUUACCCUCGACCGGGAAGACAAAUCCCUCGACUGGGAAGGAAAGGCUACUGAAAAAGAGAGAGUCUUUUUUGCACCUCUCGGUCGGACCUCAACAGGAAAGGGGGAGCCGGUCGACCGGUACCCUAGUCAAUUGAGCCUGUUUGGACAUAGCCUUGAUCGGUUCACAAUUUUUUACCCGAAAACCUAUCUUUUUCUAGUAUUUUUGCUUCAAACACAUAGGUAAGGUCUUCAGAUAAAAUAUAUGCCAAUUUUGAAACGUUUAGCUUAAGGUUCAUUUGAUAGAUCUCGGAUUUUGGUGAAAAUGUAACUUUAAAGCAUAAAUCGAGUUUUUCAAAGAUGCAUGAAAUAAUAUGUAAAUCCUAAGUGUAUCAAUGCAUUCAUCUUACAUAUGUUUCCUAUCAUUAAAGGUCUUUCCAAAAGUCUUGAUCUUGCAUCCAUUAGGUCAUUUGAUGAAUUUCCAAAUUAACACCUGAAAUUUUUUAUAAUUUAAACCAAUUAGUAACUUAACUAUGAUUUGUUAUCAUCAAAACAUGAUUAGGAGAACCCUUGGGCUAACAGAGACAUUACGGUUAUAUCCACCAAGACCACUUGGAGGACUAUGCCAAUUUAUUGAGGAUUGCACCUUGGGUGGAUACCAUGUCUUUAAAGACACUUGUUUAAUAAUGAACCUUUCGAAGAUCCAAAAUAUCCAAGAAUCUAGUUAGAUUCGAUAGAAUUCUAACCAGAGAGGUUUCUCAUCAACCAUAAGAAUGUUGAUCCUUAGGGAAAACAUUUUGAAUUUAUACCAUUUGGAGCUGGUCAAAGAGCAUGUCUAGGAAUAGCUUUUGGUCUUCAAAUAUUAUAUUUAGCAUUAGCUAGUUUCUUACAUGCAUUUGACUUUUCAACUCCAUCAAAUGAACAUGUUGAUAUGCGAGAGAGCUUUGGACUUACAAAUAUGAAAUCUAUCCCACUCGAAGUUUUCAUUUCUCAAAUCUACCCCACUUGAAAUCCUCAUUUCUCUACACUUAUCUUCUUGUAGUCUUUACAACUAAAACAUUGAAAUGAAGAGGUCAAAGUUGACCCAGCUAGUCUUGGUUUAAAGACAUAUAGAGUUAGGUUCAAUCAAUCUAUGAUAAGAUUUGAGAUUUGUAUUAAAAGUAGGUUGGACUAAGAAUGAUGUACAAUAAACUAAAGUACUAUCCAUGCAAAUAAAGUAUAACAUUAUAUAUUAUUUGGUUAGCAUUCUGAAAUGUAACAUCAUAAUUAUUUCUUUGUUUUGUCUAAUUUAUCGCCAUUUCACCCCCUCAUCUUCAUCAAAACAAAUAAUAUAUAGUCUUUCUAUUUUUAAAAAUCAAAUUCGAUUCCCAAUUAUAUAAGAAUUUUACUAUUACUUUAUAAUAAACUUUACUUUAGUCUUAAUAACUUUGACUUGUAAAUAUGUUCUCCAUCCUUAAUUAAAUAUACAGAUAAUUUCAUUCAUUUUUUCUAAGAUUGGAGUUAAAUUUACCCAUCCAUACUUAACUUGAAAUUUUCUUAAAUAUCUGUUUUUUUUUCAUUUUUUUUACACGUAUAUCUUUUAAUUUAAAAUAAAAAAUAUUUAAUAAAAUUUCAAAAUAAUAGUUGUCAGACAUAUUUAUGUGACAUUUUCGAAGAGGUGAAUGAAACUAAACUUUUCUUUAAAUAUAAAAUCAUAAAAAUUUAAUAUAUGCAAGCAUGAUCCGGUCUAAAUAUGAUAUAUAAUUUGUGUCAUUUCAAAAAAUCACAGAAGAUCCUUUUGGCAAAGUGGCCCCCCAUUUGAGUUGUAUUCCGUAAUUGGUCACCACAUGUUAUAUCAUUUCAAAGAUUAUGGAGGAUCAUGUUGCCAAUCAUUAUCAGAAGAAGUACAGCUUCCUCUAUAAAACUAAUCAAUACGAUAUUUAGCACAUGCAAACAAAUUUGGAAGGAUCUGAAAGUCAAGUCUACGGGCCACCCCUUUACGACUUGUUCGAAAAAGCACAAAUCAAUGGUGGUGCCACUUGCCAGCAGUCUGUUUCAAUAUCUAAAUGUUACCUCGGUAAGAUUGCUUGACAUACUUUUUGUCUCCUACUAUCUCAUGGAGAUCCAGAGUUGGUAAGAUAAGAAUAGCAUCCGAAGCUGCUGGUGCAUGGCCAAUAAUCGGUCACCUCCUCUUAGGUGGGUCACAACUUCCUGGGAUUUUUUAUAAAAUUACGGUAGAUUUAAAAUUAAUUUUUUUAAAAUGCAGCAUAUUAAUGCUUGACAGCUGACAGUUACCCUCGAUCGGAAAGACAAAUCCCUCGACUGGGAAGGAAAGGCUACUGAAAAAGAGAGAGUGUUUUUUGCACCUCUCGGUCGGACAUCAACAGGGAAGGGGGAACCGGUCGAUCGGUACCCUAGUCAGUUGAGCCUGUUUGGACAGAACCUUGACCGGUUCACAAUUUUUUACCCGAAAACCUUUUUUUUUUUUGGUCUUUUUGCUUCAAACACUUAGACAAUGUCUUCAGAUAAAAUUAUAUACCAAUUUUGAAACGUUUUGCCUAAGGUUCAUUUCAUAGAUCUCGGAUUUUGAUGAAAAUGUAACUUUAAAGCAUAAAUCGAGUUUUUCAAAGAUGCAUGAAAUAAUAUGUAAAUCCUAAGUGCAUCAAUGCAUUUAUCUUACAUAUGUUUCCUAUCAUUAAAGGUCUUUCCAAAAGUCUUGAUCUUGCAUCCAUUAGGUCAUUUGAUGAAUUUCCAAAUUAACACCUGAAAUUUUUUAUAAUUUAAACCAAUUAGUAACUUAACUAUGGUUUGUUAUCAUCAAAACAUGAUUAGGAGAACCCUUGGGCUAACAGAGACAUUACGGUUAUAUCCACCAGGACCACUUGGAGGACUAUGCCAAUUUAUUGAGGAUUGCACCUUGGGUGGAUACCAUGUCUCUAAAGGCACCCGUUUAAUAAUGAACCUUUCGAAGAUCCAAAAGGAUCCAAGAAUCUAGUUAGAUUCGAUAGAAUUCCAACCAGAGAGGUUUCUCAUCAACCAUAAGAAUGUUGAUCCUUAGGGAAAACAUUUUGAAUUUAUACCAUUUGGAGCUGGUCAAAGAGCAUGUCCAGGAAUAGCUUUUGCUCUUCAAAUAUUAUAUUUAACAUUAGCUAGUUUCUUACAUGCAUUUGACUUUUCAACUCCAUCAAAUGAACAGGUUGAUAUGCGAGAGAGCCUUGAACUUAUAAAUAUGAAAUCUAUCCCACUUGAAGUUUUCAUUUCUCAAAUCUACCCCACUUGAAAUCCUCAUUUCUCUACACUUAUCUUCUUGUAGUCUUUACAACUAAAGCAUUGAAAUGAAGAGGUCAAAGUUGACCUAGCUAAUCUUGGUUUAAAGACAUAUGGAGUUAGGUUCAAUCAAUCUAUAAUAAGAUUUGGGAUUUGUAUUAAAAGUAGGUUGGACUAAGAAUGAUGUACAAUAAACUAAAGUACUAUCCAUGCAAAUAAAGUAUAACAUUAUAUAUUAUUUGGUUAGCCUUUUGGAAUGUAACAUCAUAAUUAUUUCUUUGUUUUGUCUAAUUUAUCGCCAUUUUUUCCCUUUCUCUUAUUCCCUCAUCUUCAUCAAAACAAAUAAUAUGUAGUUUUUCUAUUUUUAAAAAUCAAAUUCGAUUCCCAAUUAUAUAAGAAUUUUACUAUUACUUUAUAAUAAACUUUACUUUAGUCUUAAUAACUUUGACCUGUAAAUAUGUUCUCCAUCCUUAAUUAAAUAUACGGAUAAUUUCAUUCAUUUUUUCUAAGAUUGAAGUUAAAUUUACCCAUCCAUACUUAACUUGAAAUUUUCUUAAAUAUCUAUUUUUUUUCCUUUUUUUUACACAUAUAUCUUUUAAUUUAAAAUAAAAAAUAUUUAAUAAAAUUUCAAAAUAAUAGUUGUCAGAUAUAUUUAUGUGAAAUUUUCGAUGAGGUGGAUGAAACUAAACUUUUCUUUAAAUAUAAAAUCAUAAAAAUUUAAUAUAUGCAAGCAUGAUCCGGUCUAAAUAUGAUAUAUAAUUUGUGUCAUUUCAAAAAAUCAUAGAAGAUCCUUUUGGCAAAGUGGCCCCACCUUUGAGUUGUAUUCUGUAAUUGGUCACCACAUAUUAUAUAAUUUCAACGAUUAUGGAGGAUCAUGUUGCCAAUCAUUAUCAGAAGAAGUGCAGCUUCCUCUAUAAAACUAAUCAUAUUUAGCACACGCAAACAAAUUUGGAAGGAUCUGAAAGUCAAGUCUACGGGCCACCCCUUUACGGCUUGUUCGAAAAAGCACAAAUCGAUGGUGGUGCCACUUGCCAGCAGUCUGUUUCAAUAUCUAAAUGUUACCUCGGUGAGACUGCUUGACAUACUUUUUGUCUCCUACUAUCUCAUGGAGAUCCAGAGCUGGUAAGAUAAGAAUAGCAUCCGAAGCUGCUGGUGCAUGGCCAAUAACCGGUCACCUCCUCUUAGGUGGGUCACAACUUCCUGGGAUUUUUUAUAAAAUUACGGUAGAUUUAAAUUUAAUUUUUUUAAAAUGCAGCAUAUUAAAAAAUAUCUUUGAAUAAUAAUAAUAAAAUGACAAAUAAUAAAAAGGAAAGAAAGUUGUCUUGUGGCUAUAAGAAAGAAUAAUAUAAAAGAGAGAGAAGAGGAGAGGCGGAUAGAGAGAAGAGUAGCAGGAAAAAAAAAAAAGAGAACAGGGAGGUGCAUGCUGCAAAUCUUUGGGUGUUCGUAUGACGAGCAAAACGAGUUAUGUUUUGCGUGAAAAUUAAGGUGAAAAUUUUCUUUGACAUGAGGAACAUUCUUUCAAAGUUUGAUUUUAAUUUCAAUGAUUGGAUUUUUUGAUUUGUGGUGAGGUAGUUUAAUCCUAUAACUUUUGUUUAAUAUUUUUUCUUAAAAAAAUAUUAUGGAUUUUAUUACUGGGAGAUAAAUAUGUGUUAUUUGUGUUUUCUUUAUGUUAUUUGAAAUAUGAUUAUUGUUAGGGUGGAUUAUUAUGAUUUUUUUUUUUUUUUAUGUUUGCAAUGAUUUAAUUGAAGAAAAAUUAUUGUGUUGAUUGUUGGAAAUUAUUCAAUAUAUUAAGAAUAAAUAAAAUUUAUAUGAUUAUGGUUUAGACUAUGUUUUGAUGAUAUAUAAAUUAUUGUGAUUUUUUUUGUGGUUAUUUAAUUGAAGAAAAAUUGUUGUGAUGUAAUUGGAAUUAUUGAUUAUGUUUGGAGUAAAUAAAAAUUAUGUCCUAUAAAAUUAUGGAUGAUAACAUGUAAGUUUAUUAUAUUUCAUAUAUGGUUAUAUGAAAAAAAAUGAUGAAAGAUUUUAUGAAAUGGAAAAAGGAAAAAAAAAGAAAAAAAAAAUGAUGAUGAAAAGUAAAAGCCCGUAAAAGACGAAUUAAGAAAGAAAUGAGAUUUCUAGUAUGAAAACUACAAAAAUUUAUCUUAUGAAAACUCUAAAUGGGGAGUGUAUUUGGUACAGAUGCAUAUCAUUAAGUGAAAACCCAAAAACAAUAGUUUGUUACUUUACUGAAUGUAAACAUUUGCAUCAUGUUUUUAUUUGGAAGAAUGACAUGUAUUAAUUACUUGAAUGACGUCAAUGGUAUGUUUGGAUAUAUUAUUAGAGAUUGAAAUGAUUUAUUUAUUUUGUAAAUUUAGAAUUGUUUGAUAUGUUAUUUAUAUAAUUGAAUAAGAAAUGUGAUAAUUUUGAUUAGUUUAAUUUUAUAUGGUUGAUUUUUUAUUUAAUGACUAUAAUGCAUUGUUUUGAAAAUUGGAUCGGACCAACCGGUUCAAUCGCCAACUGGUGAUCUUUCCGGUUCCAUCCUCUCCUUUAAACCGCUAGAUGGUUGAACCGACCACAAACCACUAUUGGCAGUUGGACCGAUGAACCGCUUGGACCAGGUGGUUUUUCAUGAACUGCAUGGCUCAAUUCCAGCCCAGUCUUCCCCCCAUUUUUUCUUUCAUCCAAAUAGUCCAACCUUCCCCUCCUCUUUUUCAUAGGGUCCAAGUGAAAGCCCAAUAAGCCCAGCCUUACAUCUUAAUGGUCUUUAGGCAAAACCUAAACCCAUUUAAACCCCUCAAUGGGUUGUACCUUUGAACCCAUUAGUUACACAAAUAGCUUGAAUGAACUGUGUUUUACGCGCAUAUUCACAUCCACAUCCAUGUGGGAUUGCUGCUAUUUUAAGUCUAAAGAAAAAGCAACGCCACUUAGCUACAACACAAUUUGAUGCAAGUCUAGAAAAUAAAAAAAUCAGCAUGUGUUUCAAAAAAGAUUAAUAAUAUUAAAUAAAAUAAUAUAAUAUUUUCUGAAAUUAUAAAAUUAGUUAAAGUUAAAUAAUUAAAUUUUUACAUAUUCCAUUUAAUAAAGUUCAAAAUAUUAAUAUAUUUAUAUUUAUAUUUUGAUAAUAUCAAAGAUAAAAAAUAAAUAUUUUUAAUUUUUUAAUUUAUAUAAUAUUAUAUUUUGACAUAUAAUUGUUUUCUAUUGACUUAAAUUUUUUAAUUCAUUUGGGUGUAAAACACCUUACAAAACAAUGUGAAAAUGUUCACCCCUUUAUUUUUAUAAAAUUUUUAGAUACAAAUAUAGUUUAUAAGGAACCAUAAGAAAAUCAAGAAGUGUUCCAAAAAGCCUUAACAAAUAAAAGAAAAAUAAUAAUAAUAAUUUUUAAUUUAUAUUACCUUUUUGACAUGUACUAAUUUGAGUUAUAUGAAUUUUUGUAACUUAAAUUAUAUUUUGUUAUUUUGUAAAAUAUUUUUGGAAAUAUUUUUUACUUAGAUUUAUGUAGAUAUUUGGGUUAAUUUGGGAUUAAAUAUUGAUCUAUUCACUGUCAAAUUGGAUAGGAAUAAACUUUAAGGUCAACCCUUUGACCUGAUAUCACUAGUCGGAUUCUGAGUUGCCUUGGGUGUGACUAUAAUGGAUUUUCUUCUCCAAUGCCUAAACCCUGUCAUGGUUGGAGCGUUUGCAAUACUCGUCCUCUCAUACCACCUGUUAUUAUGGAGGUCUGGAGCUGGUAAGAGCAGAAUGGCACCUGAAGCUUCUGGUGCAUGGCCCAUAAUAGGCCACCUGCACCUGUUAGGUGGAUCUAAGAAUUUGCCUCACUUACUUUUUGGAACCAUGGCCGACAAGUAUGGACCAGUAUUCAGCAUCCGGCUGGGAUUAAAAAGAGCUGUGGUUGUGAGUAGUUGGGAAAUGGCCAAAGAAUGCUUCACCACCCAUGACCUGGCUCUGGCCUCCCGUCCUGAGCUUGUGGCCGCCAAAUAUUUGGGAUAUAACUAUGCCAUGUUUGGUUUAUCUCCUCACGGUGCAUACUGGCGUGAAGUGCGUAAGAUAGCCACUCUAGAGCUACUCUCGAACCGCCGGCUAGAGUUGCUGAAGAAUGUCCGAAUCUCAGAGGUGGAGACAUGCAUGAAGGAACUAUACGAGCUUUGGGCAAAGAAGAAAAGCGAAGCAGGCGUUGUUUUGGUGGACAUGAAGCAAUGGUUUGGGCACUUGUCUCUGAACGUGAUUCUUAAGAUGGUUGUUGGAAAACGAUAUUUCGGUUAUGCAGCCGAAAGUAAAGAGAAAGAGGCCCAGCAGUUCCAGAAGGCGAUUAGGGAAUUCUUUCGUUUGAUGGGACUCUUUGUGGUGUCGGAUGCCAUUCCUUUUCUUGGAUGGCUUGACGUGGGUGGACAUGUGAAAGCCAUGAAGAAGACUGCAAAAGAAUUGGACGGUAUUACUCAGGAAUGGUUAGAGGAACACCGACGGCGAAAAGAUUCGGGUGAAGCUGAUGGUGACCAGGACUUCAUGGACGUGAUGCUGUCCAUUCUGGGUGGUAGAGACACUACUGAUUAUGAUGCUGAUACCAUCAACAAAGCUACAUCCCUGGUAUGCACAUUAUUCCUUUAGCAUCUUUAUAUGGUAGUAAAAAAUGAGACAUAAUUUCAUGCUUUAUCAUCUUUAGUCCAGACUCAAGAGUACUUGGGCCUGGGUUGGAAGAACUUCUUAUUUUUGCUUAGUUUCAAGUUGAAACUAAUCAAAAGCAGCGAUUUUUAAAAGGUAAUUAUAAUAGUGGUGUUAUUAAAGGUCAAACAUAAAUAACUUUUUGCAUAAAUCAAAAUAGAGUUUAUAUAUAUAUAUAUAUAUAAAAUAUUUUUCUGAUCUUCAUAUUAAUUUUUCUAAGUCAUAACUUUUUUGAACAAAAUUAGUCAAACCAUAGAACUCUUGAACUUACAGAAAAGGGCUUUCGAUUUCUUAGAAAUAGAUACAUGAAGAGUUUUGUUAUAUGUUUGUUUUUGUCAAAAGAGUAACAUGAGCAGCUUAGACAAGCAAUUAGAAUGAAAUACAACUGGGCUGAGAAGCUGAGUAGAACUAGAAUUAUGUACAACCUCUUGCUAGGAUAAUUGGGUUGGACUUGUAAUGAUAGAGUUCUCCGUUGGAGUUAGGUGGCCCAAAAAGAUUGUGCUGUUUGAAUAGCUGGUCCUCUAAUUUAGGAAGAGGCAGCCGAAUUUGCAACGCUGGGUGGCUGGGCCCAUAGAAAAUAUUCUUGUCAGAAGAUUGUGAAAGUAUGUUCCUUAGUCCGCAAGGUUUGAGGCCUCUUUGAGUGGGCUUCUAGAGUCGGUUAGACAAUUGGGCCUUUCAAAGGAUUUCCUAAAUUUACAAUUUUUUUAGCCCAACAUGAAUUUUUAUAAAAUGCUAUAUUUAUACGUGAGUUUCAUAUUCAAGCUAAACAUACCCAUUUUGAUUGGAAAAAAAGGGAAAGAACAUGGGGCCUUUUUUCCACCCUUAAUCUUAUCACUACUUUUAAUUUUAUUUUAUUAGUUAAUGGUUUGUAUUUCACAGGUUAUGAUUGGAGGAGGCGCUGACACUACAUCUGGUACUUUAACAUGGGCAGUCUCACUUUUAUUGAACAAUCCACACAUAUUAAGAAAAGCUCAAGAAGAAUUGGAUGCUCAUGUUGGUAAAGAAAGACUAGUAAAUGAAAUGGAUAUAAGCAAGUUGGUUUACCUUCAAGCAAUUGUUAAAGAGACAUUGAGGUUAAAUCCAAUAGCCCCACUUUCAGGACCGCGUCAAUUCAUCCAAGAUUCUAUUUUAGGUGGUUACCAUAUCUCAAAAGGCACUCGUCUUAUAUUGAACCUUACCAAGAUUCAAAGAGACCCGAGAGUAUGGUUGAACCCAAUGGAGUUCCAACCAGAUAGAUUCCUCACCACCCACAAAGAUGUUGAUGUUAGAGGUAAACAUUUUGAGUUGACACCAUUUGGUGGUGGAAGAAGAAUUUGCCCUGGAAUAGUUUUUGCCCUUCAAGUGCUACACUUAACAUUAGCCAACUUCCUGCAUAGAUUUCAACUUUCAACUCCAUCAGAUGCACCGGUUGAUAUGAGCGAGGGUUUUGGAUUAACAAACAUCAAAUCCACUCCACUUGAAGUUCUUAUCUCCCCACGCUUAGCUUCUUAUGAUCUUUAUGAGUAGAAUUUGAGGUCGCUAAGAGACUUAUUUCAAAAAACCUAGUACUAUGAAAUGUGAAAUAAAAAUAAAUUUCAUAGCAUAAGUUUAGUAUUAUUUUAAAAUAGUUACUAAUGUCUGUCCUUUAAUAUUGUCUUAGCUUGAAUUUAAUGAAAAAUAUUUUCGACACUUAUUUUGUGUGGACAAGUAAUGACCCAAUUUCUUGUUAUGUUUCUUCAUUCUUCCAUGAAAGAGAAUUUAGAAGAAAAAGUGGCAUAUAGCAUUACAAUUGAAAAAUUAAUAAGCAUGUACUCCAUAUGCAUAGUAGACUUAAUGAGUUUCCAAGUUGAUUAAUUGGUAUCUCCUUUUGAUAGAUUUCAGCCACCUUUUUGUACAUGAUUAAAGUAGUAAUGGAGACUAAAAUUACAACUCCCAUUUCAUUGUAAAAAGUUGGGAUGUGCAAGGUGGGUCAGUUCAAUUUUGGGCAUUAAAAUCAAAUCGAAUUGAACCCAAAAGAGGAAAAUGAUUAGUUUGACUUGAUUAACAAUAAUCUAAGUUGGUUUAUUUUGCUUCUAUUUAUAACAUCAAUUUUUUUUUUUAAUUUGAACGAAAAUAAUAUUAUUGAAGCAAGUCAUCUUUGGACGGUUGAAAUGAUAUUAUUACAACUAAUUUCAAAUCAUAUUAUUAUAACUUAAUGAUGUGAAUAGGUAUUAUUGUAACCCAUGUCAAUCAUAUCAAAUAGUCCAAGUCAUAGAUAAAAGUUAUAAAGGUGUGAUUGGGAGUUCCAUCCAAUGUGAAAAAUGUAUACCCAAUUAAUGAUGUAACCAAUUGUUAUACUGUAUAUUAUUACUGUGUGUAUAACUUUCAAUUCAAUUCAGUUUGGUUCAUUAAUUUUUUUAAUAGGUAAUUGAAUUGGUAUAACUUGGUUUUAUAUUUAAAAAACCAAAUUUAUUAAAAAAUAAAAUCUUAAAAAAUUAAUAGAUUUGGGUCAAUUUCAUUGAUUUUGCCAAUUGUACACCCUAAAAGAAGGGAUGUCCACUUAUCAUCCAUAAACUUUGUGUACUCCUAAGUUACAAUUUUGCCCCAUGUGAUUCACAUUUGUACUUAUUAUACUCAAUUUUCCGUACAAAUGAUUUAUUAUUUUGCAGAAUUUUACUCCAUGAGAUUCACAUUUGUACUUAUUAUUACCAACUUUGUCUGCUCUUAAGUUACAAUUUCUCCUAAUUAGAUUCACAUGCGUUACUGCCAUAAUUGACUUUCCACAUUUAUGCAUGAAUUAUUAUGUCAAUAGAUGCAUUAUCAUUUUGUCAAGUUAAUCUGACUUAGGUUAAUCACCAAAGGCAAGGUGAAUUAAUUGACUCAAUUUUAAUAAAUUUUAAUUUAACUAAGUGCAAGUAAUAAUAAUAAAACAGUUAAAAAAUACAUAAUUAAAUAACUAAAAAGAAGAGAUAACAGGUACAAACUCCGAUUUAUAUUUUGCUCAAUCCCAUACUCUCCUCAAGCUCUCAAAUGCAAAUUGAGGGUUCCACUAGCUUUUAAGACUUCAAUCAAAUCUUAAUCCUUUACACUUGGAUUCUCAAUUUCAAUGAUCUUUUUACACUUUAAUUCAAGAAAUUCCUCACUCUUGAACAUACUCAAAGGUAACACUUGAACAACAUUGAUCUCACAAAAUUUUAUUUACAAAUAAUAUAAAUGAAAACUUAAAUGGUUUUUCUUGGCUAGGAUUUCUAAGUUAAUAAGGAUUUUUGCAUUAAAAAGAAAUAGUUAAAAUCAAUUGGGUUUUGUAAGAUUUUGAUAUAUAUCUUAGUUUGCGAGUUUUUUGGGAUUCUAUUAUAAUCUUAUUGUUUUAUCCUAAAAUUGUCAAAAAAAGAAAUCAGUAAUUUAGUAUGGCAAUUUUACUCCAAAGAUUAUUGAUUAAAAAUUAUUUUACUAAUACCAACGUGUAAGAGUUAAAGGCAUAAAAUUGAAAUUAAAGUAAGUUUAUUAUUUUGGAUUUGGUUAAGUAAUGACAAGAUUAAUAAUUGAAAUUAAUGUAAAAAGAAGUGUAAAAACUUUAAAAGUUUAAAAUAUCAUUUCAUUAUUAAUUAGUUUCCACUUGCCAACAUAGACUUCUCAUUCUAUUCAAACAAGUUUUUUGUACUUUUAUAUAUAUAUAUAUAUAUAUUUCAUAAACUUAACAAAGGAUACAAACAACAAAAGAAAAAAAAAAUUGAGCUACUAAACCUCAAUAUAAAUUUGGGGUGAAUUAUCAAGGUCUAUUAAGGAGCAUGGGGAAGUGUUGUAUCACAUAUCGAUGUGAAGAAGGUGUAUAUAUAUUUAUAGUAUAGGACCUAAGAUGUGAACGUUUCUUUUAAAGUUAGGUAAACAUUUCUUUCAAAAUUAAUGGAAUCUCACUAUGAUUUAUAUACACAUGCUUUCAGUGUCCAUAGAGGUUGAAAUAAUACGAUGAUUUUUAACUUAUAUCUUGCUUUUUAUAUGUGAUUUAAUAUUGUUUUGGAUUAUUGAUUAUGACUCAUGAAUUAUCAUGCAUGGAACUAAUCAAAAUGAUAUAAUUAAAUUAUAUUAAUGAAUUUGAGAUAGACAUGACAAUUAUUAAUUUAAAAUAUCUUAUAUGAACAUAAAAUUUUAAAUAUAGACUCAUAAUUUAUAUAUAUUAAUAUAAUAAAGUUGAAAAACUACGUUUAUCUCAAAUUUAUGCCUAGGGCCCAAAUUUUGCUGAGAGCCAGCCGGAUGUCAUCACAUGCAAGAAAGCUAGGAAACAAAGCUAAAGUUUGCUUCUUGUGUGGGAAGAGGUACUUCCGUGCUUGACUGAAAGAAAGGAUUUUCUACAAGAAAAAUUGUCCCCUUGUUUGUAAAGCCUCAAGUUGCGACAGCAAUAACGACAAAAGUAGGCCAAAGAAUUUGUCAUUAUUAUGAGACUAGAGAGGUUUUACUGAGAAGUUUUCCGAGCGUGAUAUCAGCAUUCGCUGUAUCACAGUGAUACAACAAAUGGUUUGAACACAGUGAUCUAGAACCCAUUAGCUCAAAUUUCAUUGAUCUGAACACGAUGAUCCUCAUCCGCAGACCAUUUUAGGGAAUGAUUAAUUCGAGCGAUUUUUUAACUGCCUGUACGAAGAACUUUAUCAAAAUUGGAUUCAGUGUAUCUUAACCAAUCUUGAUCAGUAUGCGACUGAUGAUUCUAUUUGAUAAAAGUAAUGCGGUGGCCCAACUUUAUCUUAAUUUCUAUGUUGAAAGUAACCAUAUAUUAUUCUAUAAUUAUAAAUAUAUACUGUGGAAUCAAGAUAACUUUGAUAUGCUAAGGAUCAAAAGAGGGCAGCCACUUUAGUAGUGGAUUAUACUAAAUAAAGCUGAUCGAUUAUUACAUUGGAAAAUAACAUUGAACCUAUCAUGAAAGACAACCCUACUGGACCAUGCCCCGAGUACUAAAUGCUGAUAAAAAACAAGUACAUGUUCCAAAGGAAUUGAGUCCAUAUAUACACAUUAGUGCUCAAAGAGAAAAACUAUAUAUCCACCGCUUAACUACAGUGAUCCUUUGAGCAGAAGAAGCUAGCCAUGUAUUUCCUUCUCCAAUACCUAAACAUCACCACGGUCGGAGUCUUUGCCACACUUUUCCUUUCCUACUGUCUAUUAUUAUGGAGGUCUAGAGCUGGUAACAAAAAAAUAGCACCUGAAGCUGCUGCUGCAUGGCCCAUAAUCGGUCACCUACACCUGUUAGCUGGUGGUUCUCAUCAGCUUCCCCACAUAACCUUGGGAAACAUGGCCGACAAAUAUGGACCGGUCUUCACAAUUCGGAUUGGGUUGCAUCGAGCUUUGGUGGUAAGUUCUUGGGAGAUGGCUAAAGAAUGCUCGACCGCCAAUGACCAGGUUUCAUCCUCGCGUCCCGAACUUUUAGCCUCAAAACAUUUGGGCUACAACUACGCCAUGUUUGGUUUCUCUCCAUACGGUUCUUACUGGCGUGAAAUGCGCAAGAUAAUCAGCCUAGAGCUACUCUCUAACAGCCGCUUAGAGCUGCUGAAGGACGUCCGAGCUUCAGAAGUGGUGACAUCCAUAAAAGAGCUAUACAAGCUCUGGGCAGAGAAAAAAAAUGAAUCGGGCCUUGUCUCUGUGGAGAUGAAGCAGUGGUUUGGAGACUUGACUCUGAACGUAAUUCUUAGGAUGGUGGCAGGGAAGCGUUAUUUCAGUGCUUCAGAUGCAAGUGAAAAUAAACAGGCGCAGAGGUGCCGGAGAGUGUUCAGGGAAUUCUUUCAUUUGUCAGGGCUCUUUGCGGUGGCGGACGCUAUUCCAUUUCUUGGAUGGCUCGACUGGGGGAGACAUGAGAAAACCCUAAAGAAGACAGCAAUAGAAAUGGACAGUAUUGCUCAAGAAUGGUUAGAGGAGCACCGUCGGAGGAAAGACUCCGGUGAUGAUAAUAGUACGCAAGACUUCAUGGAUGUGAUGCAGUCAGUUCUUGAUGGCAAAAACCUUGGUGGUUACGACGCUGAUACCAUCAAUAAAGCCACAUGCAUGCCUGGUAUGAGUUAUUAAUGAAGCACCCACGUACCAUUUAUAUUUGCAUAUUAUCAGGGCUAGCUUCUUUUCCACAGACAGUUUUUCUUUUGUUUAUAUGUUUUAAUUGAUGCAUAUUCACUUUCUUCUUCUCUUAAUUAAAUUGCAAUAAUUAAACAUACAAUUUAAAUAAAUUUUAAAUUUUAUUUUUAACUAAAAACAAAAGUAUACAUAUACAAAUAUAUAUUGCUUAAGCAAUUAAUUUUUAAAAAUUAUUCUUUCAGAACACCUUAGACAAGUUGAGACAUGCUUCGAGGGAAAUCUAAAUAUAAUGAUUUUAAAAGCUACUUUGUAAUUUUAUUUUCGAGCAUGUUGCAUAAUAUAUGCUUUCCUUGAAUUGAUUUUCUAAAUUUUAUUUUUGUCAGCAAGAAAGGGUUAUCUACGUUUUGGAAGUUAUCUUUAAUUUCCCCUGCAAAGAAUAAGUGUGUGGACCCUGCAUUUCGGCUCAAUGCGUUUCCCACUCGAUGGCGAGCUCGAUUUUUAUUUGAAAAAUGAUUUUUAUUGAUUAUUUAGAAAAUGACUUGGAGUCGCCACUUAUUUUUGUUUUAUUUUUAAAGGGUAAACAAAAUAAGAAAGAAAAACCCUAAGUGUGACUCCUUAUUUUGGAAAAGGUGGUCUGUGAAAAACUGAAUCGGGUUCAGGGGUCAGGUUACUUAUUGGGAAGGUACGGUAUGGACCGUAGCACCCCUCUAAGUCCCUAAAGUCGGGUCUCUACUAAUGAGAUGAAGCUGACAUGGCAAUCAAUGAGAAAAUCAAUGAAUACUCGAAUCAAUCAUGCACAUAUGAGAGACAAAGCAUGUAUAAAGAAUGAGCAAAAUAUGAAUAGAUGCGUACCUGGGCGACAAUCACGAAUGCGCUAUCAUGAAACAUGGUUAGUGAACAAUAAACAUAUAUAAUUAAGCGCAUAUCAAGGAAUAGAGUAAAUCAAUCAUGCAUGACAAAUAAAUCAAUCAAUCAUGGAAUCUCAUAUGUAGGGCCCCCACCAAAACCCAAUUCAUUUUUGCAUGAAUCAAUUCCAUAAAUUCCAUCACUUGGAAUUACGGAAUUUAAUUCUUACUUAUUUUUAAAACAUUUUAAAAACCAAGAAAAUGCACAAGUGGCUUGCCGGAAGGAAAAUGGCAACCAAAUUUUAUUGAAAAUGGGAUUUAAGAAGAUUAUUUUCAAGAAAACAGGGGAUGAGAGAAUAGAAGGAAAUGGCACAUGGUCAAGAGCUGCAUGCCUAAGGUGGCCAUGCAAAAACACUUCCCUCUAAGCUCAGGGUGGAGGGACUGCACUAUAAGGAUCAGUGGUGCUGCAGAGCUUGUCAGAACAGCUGAUGGCAUCAUAGGUGUUGCUCCUGAUUGCCUGAAAGAAUUCAUCUCUAAUGGACGGAAUCGAUUGCUCUACAUGAUUAUUCCAGAAGGUAAUGGUUGAGUCCUUAGCUUCACGAACCCAAUUUUUUAUGUCAUUACUUCCCAUCAAACUACCAUGACAUAGGAGCCACACUGAGCAAACUGAUGAGCCCGCUGCCCCACAUGUAUAGGGAAUCCAGUACAAAGUUAAUUUCCGCGGUUUACGAUGUUCGGAAACAAGGAUACUUAGGUAAGAAUCCAGCUUAUACAUGAUAAAUCACGNNNNNNNNNNNNNNNNNNNNNNNNNNNNNNNNNNNNNNNNNNNNNNNNNNNNNNNNNNNNNNNNNNNNNNNNNNNNNNNNNNNNNNNNNNNNNNNNNNNNGUGGAUGCCGCCUAUGAUACUAGCCUCAGAAAUCAUGCCAUUGACAUCGUUGUGCUUGUUACUAUUGCCAUCUCUAUCUCACAUGUGAGAGCCCUUGAUGGAAUCAAUUAAAAUAAUCCUUGAUAGAAACGUGGACUUCAUGUCUCAAAUCUGGCCUUUCAUAUCUCCUCAUUUGUCCAUGUCAACUAUUGUCACCAAGCCAUAAGCCUCUUGAUCCCAUGAUAACCCCAUUAUUCAACCCAAUACUUCAAUGAUGAUUCUCUUUCAUUUGCAUUCCUGACCUUCUCUUAUCUCCAUUACUGAUCCCAUGGAUGUUUACAGGAUUGAGUAUUUGGACGAGAGCAAACUUUGAUUAGAACCCUGUAUCAUGUUGAGUCUCUGCCAGCCUGGAAGGAUAAAAAUCACGUUGCCCCAUAUGGUGAGUUUUACUUUGAUUUACUCUUCCUCCUUGAUUCGUAUAAUGCAAGAAGGACAGGAGUUAAAAUGUCACGGAUAGCAUGAUGGCAAUGCCCAAAAGUAGCGUCAGUGUACAUUUGAGUCAAACGCGACUCCAUAUCAAACAUUGGCGGCCAGCGUCCAAGUCAAAGGGACGUAGUGCCCAUAAUUCACUGUUGAUAUUCUUCUUUCUGGGGAUGGAACAGAUCCAACUUCAAGGAUUGGGUGAGUCUCCUAAGAACUUUUCAUAAGGAUGGAUGACUGCCCAACAAUGCACUCAGGUUCCAUCAUUGCAAAGCCUCAACAGACUGCAUGCACCAUUCGUCGCGUACCUCACGACAAAUGUGAGUCUGGUUAAUCCCGUAGGAGGACUCCAAGCAGCAUGCAUAACGUACCUCUUCGGAAUAUCACAACGAGACCCACUGGUGCCCUCGUCUGAAUACCCCUCCGCCUCUCAUUCAAGUAAUGGGUGUUGGACCCAUGUAUGCAUGCAAAGAUGGAGGAGUGAAGUGGUGAGAGAAAGGAUGUAUGGAUUUAGCUGCGAGUAAGGUCACGGGUAUGGGAGGAUGGAUGCGGUGAAGACCUUUGAGGGUGAUGAAAAAUGGUGCAUGGAGUAAGAUAGGCUAAAGUGGAAAUGCGUGGUAGAAUGGGCAUAGGAGUAUCAUGAGAGAAGUGUGCAGGGACUACAUGCAUGUGGGUGGCUAGGGAAGUAAAAGAUGGGUUCAACAGUGAAACGUAUGGGAAUGAUGAGAGGGAAAGCGGAUUAGCAGAUGGGGUUAAUGAGUGAUAUGAAGAAUGGGGUAUGAGACCUGGGUAUAAGGUGAAAUGAAUAUGACAUGGUUAUGCAUGGCCAUGCCAUGGCCAUGCAAGAACAUGAUGGAAAGGGAGUGACGGAUGUAUGAAUAAUGGAGAGCAUGAGGAGGUAUGGGAUAGAUGAACAGGGCUGGAUGGUGGAUGAUGAAUAAGUAAUGGUGAAAUGGGUAUGAAAGAGUUUGAAGAGAGAGAAAAGGUGGUAAUGUGGAAUGGGUUUGAUAGGUGGGAGUACAAAGUGGGUAUGAAGAUGGGUAUGAAUGGUUUAGUAGGUACGAGACAAAUGGGUUAGAUGGAGGGUAUAAUGGGUGAUGUAAUGAUGGAAACCCGGGCGUUUAUUCAUCUUUGGAGGCACGAUACCCGGGUCAUGAACAGAUGGAUCACACUUCUUGGCCAGCUGCAUUCAGGCCAUAGUCAAUACAACCGACUUCGCUACCUCCAUUUCCAGGCACAGUGAUUGACACAAAGGAAGGUAACUUCCCAAUAAUCAAGCUUCUUUCGAUACAAGGUCUGCAUGGCUUAGCCGAGUUCAGUUUAGUUGGGUGUCGAAUCCCAUUGGUCAGUAGACCCAUUUGGAGCGAAACUGAACCCUUUAAUCCAAAUGGACCGUUACAGAGAGCACAAAGCAGCAGUAGGAUUAGCAAGACCCAGAGCAUAAGAGCGGGCUGUGACCAUGGCAGAGAUUCCAAAUUAGAAAGCAAGCACAAAACCAUCCAUGGAAGAGGUUAUCCAAGGUUUUGGAUGCUUAUGAAGUUUUCCCGCAAGUUGAACGAAUCUGUAACAGAGUGCCUUCUGAUCUAACCUGCAUAGUUUCAACAUGUACCACACCAUCCCCAUUCACGGUACCUCCAAUCACUAUGUCACCCUUCUUUCUUCGCCAUAGGCCUAGCAUCCUCUGUGAGCAUGUUCUUGAACCCACAAUCUCCCGCUUUACCUCAUGGAAACAUGUCAACCAAAAUAGCCCACCCAUCAAGUGACUGAUUCAACUCUGAUACCCGACAUCUCAGAUGCACCAACAACAGAAGCACAAAAGGGUAGGAAAUGGGGCCAAAACAGAAAAGAACGAAGGAAGGAUAAACGAGGAAUAAAGUAAAACAUAAGUGUAUAGAGCCUCAUUUCAGGUGACAUCCAUGGGCUUAUACAAGUGAGGAGAUCUCAAGUUAGAGUUACAGAAUAUAUGAGGAACCGAGUUCUAUUAACUCCAAGCCAAACCACAAGAACAGCAGUAAAAUCAACAACAAUAGAGUAUAAAAACGAUCCAGAAAUCAACAAAAUUCAGUACGUAUGACCCAACUCAAAUUGAUGAGCAAUGCAGAGCAAACCAAAAUGAGAAAAGGGUGAGAAAAAUAUGAAUCAAAGUAAGCAAGAAACUCACCUCAAACUCACCUGCAGACGCUCCUCUCUCUAUUCCUUCAUUCUCUAAGCUUCAGCUAGCCAAAAACAACGCCCAGAAUCUCCGUCACACAGCCACCCAAAACCUCCUCCUCUGCAGCCUCGAACCUCUCUGCCAACAAACAGCAACCAAAAGCACCUCCCCCUCUCGGAAACUUCUUUCUCCCUAAAAAAAAACUCUCAGACCAGCCUCUCUAAAGCUCCCCCUCUCUCAAGUUCACCGUCCAAAAUUACUCCUCUCAUGGAAAAACUCCCUGGAAUCCCCUCAGCAGCCCCGGUACCUCCAGCUAAAAGAAAAUCACCCCCCCCGGUUCUCAUGUCUCUCUCACCUUUUUUUCUCUCUAGCCAAAACCAGCUUUCUUUUCCUCCCUUUGGAAAUAUCUCCCUAACGGCCAGACGACACCCACCUGCCUUGCAGCUGCAAGCCUCCACUCCCCCCUAUGCAGCUGGCAGCCUCCCAAAAUCAACCCAACAAAAGCUCUUCCCCUAAAGAUUUCUGCCACCUUCCUCUUCUAGGCAAUAUCUCUUUUCUGUCCCGGAUUUGCCCCUCCAACAAUCCCUGUAGCCACCUCCAGCACCACUACACUCUGCAUGCAACUGGCAACACCUCCUAACGGAAAGCACGCUCCCUUCUUCUAGAAUGUUCUUCACUUUCCAGGUGUCUUCCUCUUAUUAGUCCAUCAAUUCCACCAUAGUGAUUCCACUAGUAGCCAACCCGAGAGUGACACGUGGCCAUGCGAGAUGGUGACACUUGUCCAGCAUCAGCUGCAAGAAUGACUCCCAAAAUGGGGGUCUACAACUAUGCCCAUUUUCGGUAGAGUUCACAAGUGUAAGGAAAAUGAACACUGGAAUGAAAGGUAGGUGUGAAUAGUGAGUGGAAUGAAGUGAACUCUACCGAAGAACCAAGGAGACCCCCAUAGGGACACUAGCAAAACACGAAUUCGCUCAGGCUGACAGACUGACACAAAGGCUCUGAUCCUAAAACAAAAUGAUGUCUCAAAAUGCCUCUGAGGCCAUACUAAGGAUCCAAGCUCCCUUUAACAUGCCUCCAAAAGUGACCCGAAGAUCGAUGUCAAAAGUGAGUAACGGUCGAACCACCCUGGAGUACGAACAAGAAUGCGUCUAAAGGAGACUGCCCUAUGUGGACUAUGAGAUGAAUAGGUGAUAAGCACAGGGUAACGAGGUGAGAAGAGUGAGAAUAAGUGCAAAUCCAUGAAGGUGAGAUGCGCAAUGCCAGUGAAUAUGAACGCUAGGGGCUGCGACUCUGAAUGACGAGACUGACCCUAAACGCUAAACUGAGAAAAACAAUGGCUCUGGAAGCCAGACCAAAAACUAACUCUAAAAACUAAACUAGAAUAACAGCUCUGGAAGUCAACCAAAAACUAACUCUAAAAGCUAAACUAGAAAACAACAGCUCUGGAAGCCAACCAAAAACUAACUCUAAAAACUAAACUAGAAAAUAACAGCUCUGGAAGCCAACCAAAAACUAACCCUAAAAGCUAAACUAGAAAACAAACAGCUCUGGAAGCCAACCAAAAACUAACUCUAAACUAGAAAAUAAUAGCUCUGGAAGCCAAACUGAAAACUAACUCUAAAAGCUAAACUAGAAAACAACAGCUCUGGAAGCCAAACCAAAAACUAACUCUAAAAACUAAACUAGAAAAUAACAGCUCUGGAAGCCAACCAAAAACUAACCCUAAAAGCUAAACUAGAAAGUAACAAACAGCUCUGGAAGCCAACCAAAAAACUAACUCUAAAAACUAAACUAGAAAAUAACAGCUCUGGAAGCCUAAACAAGUCGACAGUAACGACUCUGGAAGCCUAAACAAGAUGAUAGUAAUGGCUUUGGAAGCCUAAACAAGAUGACGGUAACGACUCUGGAAGCCUAAACAAGAUGAUAGUAAUGGCUCUGGAAGCCUAAAUAAGAUGACGGUAAUGGCUCGGAAGCCUAAACAAGAUGACAGUAACGACUCUGGAAGCCUAAACAAGAUGAUAGUAAUGGCUCUGGAAGCAUAAACAAGAUGACAGUAAUGACUCUGGAAGCAUAAACAAGAUGACAGUAAUGGCUCUGGAAGCAUAAACAAGAUGACAGUAACGACUCUGGAAGCCUAAACAAGAUGAUAGUAAUGGCUCUAGAAGCCUAAACAAGAUGAUAGUAAUGACUCUAGAAGCCUAAACAAGAUGAUAGUAACGACUCUGGACGUCGAAACUAAAAAGUGAUGAUGAUGACUCUGAACGUCAAACUGAGAAGUGAUAACGACUCUGAACGCCAAAACCGAGGAUGCGACUCUGAAUGUCGAUCUGAAAACCGAUGAUGGCUCUGAACGCCUAAACUGAGAAAUGAUGAUGAUGACUCUGAACGUCAAACUGAGAAGUGAUAACGACUCUGAACGCCGAAACCGAGGAUGCGACUCUGAAUGUCGAUCUGAAAACCGAUGAUGGCUCUGAACGCCGAAACUGAGAAGUGAUGAUGAUGACUCUGAACGUCAAACUGAGAAGUGAUAACGACUCUGAACGCCGAAACUGAGGACGCGACUCUGAAUGUCGAUCUGAAAACCGAUGAUGGCUCUGCACGCCGUAACUGAGAAGUGAUGAUGAUGACUCUGAACGUCAAACUGAGAAGCAAUGAUGAUGACUCUGAACGUCAAACUGAGAAAGUGAUAACGACUCUGAACGCCGAAACCGAGGAUGCGACUCUGAAUGUCGAUCUGAAAACCGAUGAUGGCUCUGCACGCCGUAACUAAGAAGUGAUGAUGAUGACUCUGAACGUCAAACUGAGAAGCAAUGAUGAUGACUCUGAACGUCAAACUGAGAAAGUGAUAACGACUCUGAACGCCGAAAUCGAGGAUGCGACUCUGAAUGUCGAUCUGAAAACCGAUGAUAGCUCUGAAUGCCGAAACUGAGAAGUGAUGAUGAUGACUCUGAACGUCAAACUGAGAAGUGGCUCUGAACGCCGAACUGAAAAAUGUGACAUGAUGACUCUGAAUGUCGUAAACCGUGAAUGAACGGCGACUCUGAACGCCAGACUGCAAGGAAACAAUGUGGGGGAAAUAUGCCCCAGUGUGACAUGCCGCUGCAAAUCUCAAACUGCUAGAAAUGGCUAAAAGGGACUCUACGAGUCUCGAAAGACGCACCACUAAGAGCUCAUGUCAAUGAAGAGCUCAGGAACAACGGUCAGUGAGGCGAAUACAAUAUAUCUCGGCCGAGUGAUGGAAACCGCGACGGACAUGUGAGAGAACGAUCGCCUCCAUGGCUAAAUGAGGGAAAUACGCCCCAGUAUGGCAUCAGAUGUACCCGAUCUGCCCUGAUGACCCGAGAAUAACACCAUGGGGAUGCAUAAAAGACCUGAUGUGUACCGCACUGAAAUGAUGACAUGGGGAUCCAAGCACUCGACAUAACCCCAUCCAGGAAUCACGACUAUAUCAAAGAGUAUGAAUCUGGCUGAACGAGUCAAGAGAGGCUCCUCGGAGUAUCAGGACAAAAUGAAAUCAAUCAUCAACCUGGCGUGUAUCUCAUAACUGUGGAUGAUCAUGUAAACCAGUGGGGAUCUAUAAAUCUCGAUCAAGAUGGGGAAUAUGCCCCAGUGUGGCAUCGGAAAUGUAACAUGUCGAAAAAUCAGCUGAGCUCAAAUCAUCUAUGCCUGCAACUAGCUAGAUGGCUCUCGAUAGGCUCCACUAAGGAAUCAUCGCGAGGAUAGCGAAUAUAUCAUCAUCCCUGUAUACAUCUCGCAAAUAAGGAUAAGCACGCAACUUCCUCAUGAUCUGUAAAUCUCAUCCGAACGGAAAUAUGCCCCUGUAUGGCAUCGAAAUGUAGGAUAGGUCGGAGAUCAGAUAGCAUGGAAUCAUCUAUCUUAGAACAUGUGACCUCUGCGAAAAUCCAUAAAGAUCCUCCGAAACGGAAUAUGCCCCAGUAUGGCAUCUGACGUGCGACAAACCAGGAAAAACAGGUGACAUCGAAUCAUCCCUCAUCAAACACGUGAUCCUGGUAAUCCAAACACGGUCGAAACGGAUCUAAACAUCUGAGAAGUGUUUCUCAGAAGAAGAUGCAUGGCAAAUAUCUGGAUGUCAACUGAAUCUCAAACACCUGUCCACAUAGAAGCCGUAGAAGACGAUAUCUGAUCCCAUGGCCUCAGGGUGGUCUUAAGACACAGGACGUAAUGUAGGCUAGGGUGAUAGGGUGAUAGAAACGAAGGGAAACUAAGCUCAAAUACCCAAUGAUCAAAACCCAUGCCCUCGUGUGUGAAAUGCAACAUGUACAGAAAAUCCUGUGAGCCCUGGACCUGAGGGUGUCUAAUGUGAAUAUGAUGUCAAUGAGGAAACAAGUGAAGCAAAUCAAACUGAUAAUGAGAUAUGUAAUGGUGAUACGAAGGGAAUAUCAAACCCGAGAUGGGUCUGGUAAGAAAAGAAUGAGAAGUGAAGUGAGAAUGACGAAUCAGAAGCGAAAACGAGGACGAUGAUAAUGAAGCGAAUAACAUCAAAAGGAGUGAUGAUCAACUCAGAUCAGACAUGGAGUGAUGUCACAUCAACUACGAACAUAAUGAUGGAACGUACAAUAACGCAGAGCUCCUAAGAGAAAGUCACUCAUCUCGCUCACAAAAUAUGCAACAAAAUGAAUACAAAGCCUGAGGGAUCCAGGGAAGCUCACAUACGAACUCCCGUCAACAAACAUACUCGAUCAAGUGACCCUCGAAUAUCAAUACAUACACUCAGUGAUGGAUAACAAAACACACUUGAUUUUUAUUUCUUUUUCCAUUUUUUUUUUUUCAUUUUUUUCAUUCAUUUUUUUUUUUUUUUACAACAUAUAAAUGAACUGUACAUGAUCUGAAUGCAUACAAAGAAGACCCAAAGACGGGAUCAAAAAUGAAUAAACAUGCCCUCAAAUAUCAAUAUAUCACAAACUCAAUCUAAUGAGAUGAGGUGACCUUCUCAAACUGAGGAUCCCUGGAUCAGUGUCCGUGGGAUAGAUAGUGGAAAUGGCGUGACUACCCUCCAUGUGAUGAAAUGAGGAGGAUCACCCCUCGGGGUGAAAGAAGAUGACAUGAAACGAAUAGUAGAUAAGAUAAAGAAAAUAUGAUGAAUAACACGAACAGUGAGAUGAGAUGAAAUGCAAUGAUGCAGUGGUGAGCACAGAUAAUGAGAAGAACGUGCCCCUAGGUCCAAGGCUCAUGAAACUCUCAAACAAUGCAUGCAUACACUAAAGGGCCCCAAUCCCGGUGUGAAAAUGUGAGCAAGGCUAUAGAAAAUGAAGGCUAUGAUGCGCGUGUGAGGCUCAAAUGGGCUAGCAAUGGACUAUAUAUAUCAGAAACGGGAUAAAGGGAUAUAGCUAACCGAAAUGAUGGCCACCCAUCCUGCGACCAUGGACUCAAACGUAGUACCUCUUUAGCUGAUCCACAUUGGUCGGCUCUGAGAACUGGUUUCCAUCUAAAUCCAUCAGCCAUGCAGCGCCCUCUGGAGUCAACUUCCUGAUGAAAUAAGGUCCGCUCCAACUAGGUCUGAACUUCCCUCUAGGAUCUCUGAUCAAUCCUCUGAUGACUCUCAAAACUAAGUCACCUACAUGCAGUGGUCUAGGCUUGACCUGCUUUUUGAAAGCGCGGGCCAUCUUCCUCUGAUAUGCACGAACGUGGUCUGCUGCUCUCAAUCUCCUCUCAUCUAGGAGAUUGAGCUGAUCAAAUCGAGCCUGAGCCCAAUCCGUCUGGGGAAUCUGCUGCUCUAGUGCUACUCUCAAUGAUCCCAUCUCAAUCUCAACAGGUAGCACUGCCUCCAUGCCGUACACCAAUGAAUAGGGUGUGGCUCCUGUAAAGGUGCGAAAAGAAGUCCGAUAUGCCCACAAUGCGAAAGGGAGCUUCUCUGACCAAUCCCGAGAAGUCUCAACCAUCUUUCGCAAUAUCCUCUUAAUAUUCUUAUUCGCGGCCUCUACUGCCCCAUUCGUCUGCGGCCUGUACGCAGACGAUCUAUGAUGCCGGAUGCCGUAUCUCUGCACCAAGGUGUCAACCUCUGCUCUGAAAUGCACCCCUCUGUCUGAAAUAAGCUCGUGAGGGACUCCAUAGCGACAAAUGAUGUGCGAUCUAAUGAAACUGACAACUCCAGAUGACGUCAAUCUCGCAUACGAGGCGACCUCCACCCACUUGGUGAAGUAAUCAAUAGCAACAAGGAUAAACUCAUGACCACUGGAAGAUUUCGGUGAAAUCUUCUCGAUGAUAUCGAUACCCCAUACUGAAAACGGCCAUGGUGAAGUCAAUGCAUGCAACUCCGAGGGCGGCACGUGAAUGAGAUCUCCAUGUAUCUGACACUCGGGACAUCUCUGAACGAACUGGCAACAAUCUGUCUCCAUGGUCAACCAAAAGUAUCCUGUCCUCAUGAUCUUACGGGCCAACAUAUGCCCCCCAUAUGUGGUUCGCAGACUCCCGCAUGAACCUCUCGCAUAACUCUAUCGGCAGAAGCGCGAUCCAAACAUAAUAGCAGUAUCCCAUCAAAUGAUCGUCUAUAUAGCGUCUCGCCACAAAUCACGAAUCGGGUGGCCAACUGUCUCAAUGCCCUCCUAUCCUUGGCCGUGGCGGCCUCAGGAUAUAUGCCGAGUCUCAAAAAGUGAUAUAUGUCAUGAUACCAGGGCAAACCAUCGUCUAUCUCCAUAUCAUCAAUCAAACAACAAUACGCAGGAGCAGAUCUCGACUCAAUCAACAAAGGGCGAACAGUGGCAUCAGCGGGAAUGUCGAUCAUGGAAGCUAGAGUAGCUAAAGCAUCAGCAAACUGGUUUUGCGCUCUAGGCAGAUGUGUAUAUCUCAAAUCCUCAAAUCUCGCGACCAGUAGCUCCAAAUACGCGUGGUAAGGCCUAAGCUUCACAUCUCUAGUCUUCCACUCGCCUUGAAUCUGUCUCAAUACCAGAUUGGAGUCACUAAACACCUCCAUCUGUCUAAUCCCAAGCUCGAGGGCUGUCUCUAACCCCAAGAUACAUGUCUCAUACUCAACAAUGUUGUUCGUGGCUGGAUGUCGAUCCGAGAAUGCCAAACGAACAGAUCUGGGAAUGUGAUCACCAUGAGGGGAUAUCAACAAAACGCCUAUCCCGUAUCCAGAAUGGUUGGCUGCACCAUCAAAGUACAUGCGCCAACCCGACAGACUAGUCGCAGCUGCGACGUCCUCGUCUGGAAAAUCAUCGUCAAUAGCUCUGGCAUCAGAAACUGGUAAUGAGGCUAAGUGAUCUGCGACAAUGCUCCCUCUGAUGGACUUCUGAGUGACAUAAUGAAUGUCAAACUCAGUCAGAAGUACCAGCCAUCUCAUAAGGCGACCAACUAGAGCGGGCCUGUCAAACAAAUAUCUCAAAGGAUCAAGACGAGAUAUCAAAUGCACUGAAUACUCGGUCAUGUAAUGUCUCAAUCGGCGAGUGGCCCAAACCAAUGCCAAGCAGUAGCGCUCAAUCGUGACGUAUCUCGUCUCGUAAUCUAGCAUCCUCUUGCUCAGAUAAUAAAUGGCUCGAUCUUUGCCCGAAUCAUCGAGCUGAGCUAACAUGCAACCUAAAGCCACAUCCGAAACUGAUAGGUAUAGGAGUAGAGGAUGGUCUGGUGUAGGCGGAGCCAAAACUGGAGGCGACAACAAGUACUCUCGGAUCCUCUCAAAUGCGCGCUGACACUGAUCAUCCCAAACAGUAGGUUGACUCUUCCUCAAGAGUCGGAAAAUGGGCUCACAAAUGUCUGUCAAUCUGGCUAUGAAUCUACUGAUGUACUGAAGUCUGCCCAGGAAGCCUCUGACCUCUCUCUCUGUCCUCGGUGCAGGCAUGUCAAGGAUGGCUCUAAUCUUGUCCGGAUCUACCUCUAUGCCUCGCUCACUGACCAUGUACCCCAAGAGUUUCCCAGAAGUCACUCCAAAAGUGCACUUCUUGGGAUUCAGCCUCAAUCUAAAUUGUCUGAUCCUCUCAAAGAACCUCUCAAGAGCUGCCAAGUGAUCUGAUCUAUCUCGGGAUUUCACUAUCAUGUCGUCUACAUAAACCUCGACAUCCCGAUGCAUCAUGUCAUGGAAGAGUGUGGUCGCUGCUCUCUGAUAGGUGGCUCCUGCGUUCUUCAAUCCGAAUGGCAUGACUCUAUAGCAAUAAGUACCCCACUCGGUAAUGAAGGACGUCUUCUCCAUGUCCUCUGGAGCCAUCAAGAUCUGACUAUACCCGGAAAAUCCGUCCAUAAAGGACAACAUCGAGUGACCUGCUGUACUGUCAACUAACAUGUCGAUGUGUGGGAGAGGAAAAUCAUCUUUAGGACUGGCCUUGUUGAGAUCUCGGAAAUCAACACAGACUCUCACCUUGCCGUCUUUUUUGGGAACAGGGACGACAUUGGCCAGCCACUCUGGGUACUCGACUACUGAUAGAAAUCCUACACUGAGCUGCUUCUGAAUCUCCUUUUUCACCUGCAAGCUCCAACGAGGGUGCAAUCGUCUCAACCUCUGCUUAACCGGUCUGGCAUGGGGCAGAAGUGGCAAACGAUGCUGGACGAUGGAUGGAUCAAGGCCCGGCAUGUCCUCAUAGGACCAUGCGAAAACGUCCAAGUAGGAUCUGAGCAGCUGGAUGAGACUAUCUCUCUCAUCUGAGGAUAAAUCUGACCCGAUCCUCAACUCCCUAGGCUGAUCUGCGGUGCCGAAAUCAACAAUCUAUGUGUCUCCUACAGCAGGUGAAACCCUCUGAUCAACGGGAUCCGAAUCGGAAACAGAAGAUGAGUCAUCAUCUGAGUCGUGCUGUGCAAUCUCAUCAUCAAUAUCAAAAAUCUGUGAUGUGGGUGAAGAUGGUGCAGAUAAAUCAAUAUCACAAGAGACAGGCAGGUACUAAAAAAUGCUCAAAUCCAUAGAUGAAACAUCGGAAACAAUGUCAGAACGGGAGACAAACCCCGACUGAACGUCAAAUGAAAGAGGUGGGUCCACAAAGUCGGACGCUUCCUCAACAAUGCCAACAUGGCUAUCAAUCAAAUCAUAAAAAACUAUAGCAUCCUUAGUAAUCUCCAGAGCAGGGGCUGUCUGGAUCUCCUCAACGAUCUCGAUGAAAGACACCCCGAAAAGAUCGAAUGGUGAAGUGAGCCCAGGAUGAACUCUCUCCUCGAUCGGGCCCAGGCUCAGGGCGAGCAUCUCGUCGAUGUACUCGUCGUGUGGGACGGCUCCGUCCACUAUGUCUCCGACCCCAGCAAAGGUCUCAUGCUCAUCGGUCUCGUCCGGGAAGCAAAGCGUUAUAAGGCUCGUGCGAUCUGGAGACGAAGGAGCAAUCAACACAGAAGUCGAAGAGCCAGGAGCUCCAUCUCUCAAUCGUAACUGAUGGACAAGGCGCUGAAGCUCGACCUCCUGAGUGGUGCUAAGUCCUCCAAUGAUCACGUCCGCACGGGUCAAUGGCUCUGAUGCCCUCACAAAAUAAUCAGAUAAGCUCCUGGUGUAUGGGCGAAGAGGAUAGUAGAAAGGUGUGUGGGUCAGUCACUCUCUCCUUGCGCAAACGCGCCAUGUAGAGAUAAUCGGCCUCAAUGGGGAUGAACCCGAGUCCGAACGGUACGUCGUGAUCAGGGAUGGCUAUGAACUCGCUCGGUCCAUGCUGACAUCGACCCAACCCCAUGCCGGGUAGAUAGGACAUGCUUCGCAUAAUAUCGAGCACCACUGUGCUCCCAUGCCGGUCAAAGGACAUGGCCACAAAAUCCCGGCAGAAAUCCUCUAUCUCCACAGUCUGCACCUCAUCGAAGGUGAAUUCAGUCAGAAAAAGAUCGUCAUCAGUGUGACUAAUCUCGAGCACAGGCUCGGCAACAAUGAACAUGUCUCCCACAGACUGUACCACGACGACCUGACCAUCGUGAAUAAACUUCACCUUCUGAUGAAGGGAAGAAGGAAUGGCCCCGGCUCUAUGGAUCCAUGGUCGGCCCAGAAGCAGGUUAAAGGAUGUAGGAAUCCUCAAAACCUGGAAUACAGCGACAAAAGUGGCCGGACCGAUCAGCAACUCGAUCUCCAAUGUACCCAUGACCUCUCUACGGGUGCUAUCAUAAGCUCGGACGGUCUGAGUGGAGGGACCGAAAUCAGAAGGAGCGUAUCCAAGGGCGAUGGCAGUGGCAAGAGGACAUACGUUCAGGGCCGAGCCAUUGUCCAAAAGGACAGAUGGGACUCGGCGGCCUGAACAGCCAACAGAUAUGUAGAGCGGACGAGUGUGGUCCGAGCCCUCCGGUGGCAAGUCAUCAUCGGAAAAGACGAUACAAGUGGCUCUGCCAGCCGUCAUCAUAUGAAGGAGUCCCUCGGGAGUGGUCGUGGUAUCAACUCUGAUCUGGCUCAGAGCUCGAGUCAGUGCGUCCCGAUGGGUACUGGAAGACGCUAAAAGGCUCCAGAUAGAAAUACGAGCCUGAGUGCUCUGCAACUGCCUCAAAAUCUCGUCAUCCUCUGCUCUCACCUCCUCCUGGGAUGACGUACCCCCUAAGGGUCUAGCGGGAGCGGCUGGAGGUGGCUGUCUCACUACUCUCCCUCCCCGGAGGAUAUACUAAACGUCCGGAGUCUGAGGAUCAUCACUAUGUGGAGCCUGAACCUCCUCAACAUCUGGGAUCAGAAUGUACGGCGCCUGAACGCUAUAGCGUGUGAAUGUCAGAGGCUCGGAAGUGGCCGCCUGUACAGAUGCUGCCUCAGGAACUAAUCGGAAUGGAGCAGGCAUCUGUGGCUCUAGAGUCACCCCACUCGUCUCGUAAAUCACAGCUGGCAUGAUAGGCUCUGGGUCUGGAUCAUCCCAACUCAACAUAUGGACAUGAUCAUCAGUCUCAUCGAAGUCCAAGAAAUGAAUACCACAAGCUGGUGGAGGAACUGCAUGUGUGGUGUGGGUCGGCAACGGGUUUGUGGUCACACUCGGCUGACCCAAGUGUACCAAACCCUGGUCUAUCAGAUCCUGAAUAGCGUGCCUCAGAGCGGUGCAUCGAUCGGUCUCAUGUCUAGGCCCCUGAUGAUAAGCACAGUGUAAAUCCAUCCUGAACUGAGCUGGAAUAGGCUGAGGUAGUGGCCGAGGGGUGAGAGCAGUCAAUAAACCAGCCUCCGUAAGCUUCCGAAGAGCCUGGCUCAACGGCAUGCCUAUCUGCGAGAACUGCCUCUGCGUCCUCAAAGUAAACGGAGCAGAAGUCUGCUGGGCUCCAGGUCGGGGAUAAGGCGCCGCAGGUCUCGCGGUGAACUGAGCAGCGUAGCAUGGCUGCCCUGUGGCUGUGUAGGAGACCGCGGGUCUCUCAAUGCCCUGAGUGGCAUAAGAAGGUAAAACCAAUGUCUGUGGCAUGUGUGUCUGAUCGUAAGCCGGACGAGGUGCCCGUGGCCUGUACUGAUGAGAUGCAUAGGAAGAAUGAGGCUCGAAAAACUGUGGGAUCGGCUGAUGGCGUCUAAGAGGCCUCUGACUGGAUGAACUGAUAGCACCAACCUCUGUCGGUCUCGGUCCUACGAAUAGUUUCUUCCCCUUAACAUCACUAGGGGAAGAAUCUGCCCAUAAACCUCUCGUGAUGCCGUCCUCGACAUCAUACAAAGCCAUAACCAGAGACCCAAAAUCUGUGAACGGGACCCCGACCACAUGUCUGGCGAUCCCCGGCUGUAGGCUCCUCAAAACCAUCUGAAUCUAGUCUCUCUCUGAUGGUCUAUCCACUAUCUCAGCUAUCUUCCCGCGCCAGCGGGAAAUGAAAGAAGAAACGGACUCCUCUGUCCUCUGCCUUAGAGCCUCGAGCUCUCUCCUCGAUACAUCUACAACAGUGUUAAACGAAAACUGUCGUAGGAACUCCUGGGCCAAGUCAUCCCAUGUACGGCGUCUCGAGGACUCCAGAGACGCAAACCAGCGCUGAGCUGCCCCACUCAGAGAUAGGGGGAAAAGAGUGAUCAUUUGAGGCUCGUCCAGUCCAUGAGCCCUCAUCACGGUGCUAUAAAGUCUGAGGUGGAGGCGCGGACAACCAAUACCAGUGUACCUCUCAAUAUCUGGCAUCCUGAACUUAGUUGGCAAGCUGGCUACCGGCAUACCCCCAAAAUCAUCCCAAACAACUGAUCCAUCUGACACUCUCAUCUGCCUCAUACACUGCUCGAUGCGGUCCAUGCGGGCAUGCGUGUCAUCAGCGACAACGGCCUGGGCGACUACGGGUGGAGUGAUCUCAGAAUGCCCGUGUAAUACAUAUGGUGAUGCCUGAUGCACUGAAGGAACGAGUGGGGGUGGUGGAGGUGGGUGUGAGUCAUAUGGCGUCUCAUCCUGGACUGCUGGUGGUCUACCCUACUGACCACCGAUCUCCUGCCUGAGGCUAGCCAAAGCCUCCUGGAUAGAAGCCAUGGCAGCCGUGAACUGAUCGACCGUGACAACCUGCUGAUCCAUAUCUGGUGUAUCUGAAACCCGAACUAAUCUGCCCUCUACUCUGAUCCACGAAACUAUACCCAGACUGAGAGUAAAAAUCCUGAUCCUGAAAGUACUCCUCUUCUGCUCUGAUCCACAAAGGUAUAUCAAGACAAGGAACAAAUGUCCUAUCCUACAAAGCACGAAGAACGUAAUAAGGAUAUGGCCCGGGGAACGUAUAGAAGAAAAGAUAAUCUGAACAGGAACAAGCAAAGCAUCCAAGUGAAGAUGAGCGAUCCGACCGUACUCAAACUCGUCCUGAUCUCAGUGCACUCUCAACUGGAGACUAAACAGAGGGAAAAUCGGAUCCAAAACUGCGGCUACAGAGGCACGGAAAGCCCUCAGAUGCACCCACGUGUAGGGAGGGAAUCCUAAUCGAAGGAUCUACGGCUCAACCUACAAGGUCAAGGUGGCUCUAAAUGGAUAAGGGUGGACUUUAAAAUAUCCCUAGCAGAAGCGAUUAUACCCUCCGACGGUACGCAACCCUCUGCACGUCUCCGAAGAGACGGGGCGCUUCCAUGCAAGGUGGUCAUCACCUCCACACAUGCACUACCUCGCAUCCCAGGGGGUUUCCUAUGGUGAAACCUCUCAAACUCUCAACACUCAAUAGUCGACUAGAGUGCACAGUGAAUGGUGUGGGUGCAUCCGAAACCCUAAAAAGCUAAAGCAGGAUAUGAAACACACUGGCCACACAAAUAUCCAUGAAACCUAGCUUCGGGCUAUACAGGUCUUCAAUGAUCGGACUCCAAUCGACAUCAAAGUGUCGCUCUCCUCCAAAAUGCUCCCGUGCAUCGAUAUAGCCCAUCGCUAGACCCUACUCCUAAUCUCCGGCUCGGUCAAAGAGCAAGCACACAGAAGGUCUCACACUUGCAAUAGUGAGAACCGAAAUGAAAGGAAUGACCGAAACCAAGAGAGUUGGAGGUAGGGGGAUAGAAGUGAGACCCACAUAGACAGGCAACAUGCAAUCAUACAGAGGGAGGGCAGUCAUGCAUCAUACGGUCAAGCAGAGUAUAGGAUAUAUCACUCAUGUCCACACAAAAAAAAAAGCUACAACUAUCAGGAUGAAUAGUGAUAUGAACAUCAUGCUCAAAAGAUGAUCUAGAUAAUAUGCAGGUCAGAGAAAACAACACAGCAAGUCAAACGAUGUACAAUAGUGAGUCUAUGCAUGUGAAGUGAGCAGAAUAAUCAGGAAGAAACAGAAUCGCUUUACCAAGCAAAACAAGGUGAGCAACCUAUGAUAAUCGGCAUGUCAAUGUACCAAACUAAUAUAGCAAUGAAGUACAAAAAAAACGACAUCCGAAGCCCCAAAUCAAGAUGAUCAAUCAUAUCAAUGUCACAACAUAAUAUCCAAGCAUACAUAAAAAAAACUCUCAAUGUGCAAUCAAGAGACAGGUACUCGCUGAUCGACUCAUCAAAUGCCCUGUUUGCUUCAUCUUAAGUUCAAGCUUGACCCUCUAACUCAUCCCCAGCGGAGUCGCCAUUUUGUGGACCCCGCAUUUCGGCUCAAUGCGUUCCCCACUCAAUGGUGCAUGCAGUCUGUUGAGGCUUUGCAAUGAUGGAACCUGAGUGCAUUGUUGGGCAGUCAUCCAUCCUUAUGAAAAGUUCUUAGGAGACUCACCCAAUCCUUGAAGUUGGAUCUGUUCCAUCCCCAGAAAGAAGAAUAUCAACAGUGAAUUAUGGGCACUACGUCCCUUUGACUUGGACGUUGGCCGCCAAUGUUUGAUAUGGAGUCGCGUUUGACUCAAAUGUACACUGACGCUACUUUUGGGCAUUGCCAUCAUGCUAUCCGUGACAUUUUAACUCCUGUCCUUCUUGCAUUAUACGAAUCAAGGAGGAAGAGUAAAUCAAAGUAAAACUCAUCAUAUGGGGCAACGUGAUUUUUAUCCUUCCAGGCUGGCAGAGACUCAACAUGAUACAGGGUUCUAAUCAAAGUUUGCUCUCGUCCAAAUACUCAAUCCUGUAAACAUCCAUGGGAUCAGUAAUGGAGAUAAGAGAAGGUCAGGAAUGCAAAUGAAAGAGAAUCAUCAUUGAAGUAUUGGGUUGAAUAAUGGGGUUAUCAUGGGAUCAAGAGGCUUAUGGCUUGGUGACAAUAGUUGACAUGGACAAAUGAGGAGAUAUGAAAGGCCAGAUUUGAGAGAUGAAGUCCACGUUUCUAUCAAGGAUUAUUUUAAUUGAUUCCAUCAAGGGCUCUCACAUGUGAGAUAGAGAUGGCAAUAGUAACAAGCACAACGAUGUCAAUGGCAUGAUUUCUGAGGCUAGUAUCAUAGGCGGCAUCCACCAGGCCAUUUUGAUCCAUAAGAAAGGUAGCAAAGUGCAUCGGGGCUUCCUCUUCGUUUUGGGUGGAAUGGUGAUCUUUGUGUUCCUCAACGACAUCCAUGGAGUGGAGUAGAUUGUUUAUUUGACAGUAGCAAUUGCAAAUGGGUCAUUAAUGGACUUGGUUUUGAUUACCAGGGCUUGAGAGGUUUCUUACCGAAUGAUAUAUCCCAAUCGCGCCAUCUACAUGCAACACGUCAGAAUGAUUCUUCUGUGGAUGGGAGCUAUUCAUGUCCUCUGGUGUUUGAGAAACUGCCAGACGUAAACCAGGAAGGGUCCCAGUGGACAGAUUGUGAAAUUCGAGAGACCAUCAACGUGAUUUAUCAUGUAUAAACUGGAUUCUUACCUAAGUAUCCUUGUUUCCGAACAUCGUAAACCGCGGAAAUUAACUUUGUACUGGAUUCCCUAUACAUGUGGGGCAGCGGGCUCAUCAGUUUGCUCAGUAUGGCUCCUAUGUCAUGGUAGUUUGAUGGGAAGUAAUGACAUAAAAAAUUGGGUUCGUGAAGCUAAGGACUCAACCAUUACCUUCUGGAAUAAUCAUGUAGAGCAAUCGAUUCCGUCCAUUAGAGAUGAAUUCUUUCAGGCAAUCAGGAGCAACACCUAUGAUGCCAUCAGCUGUUCUAACAAGCUCUGCAGCACCACUGAUCCUUAUAGUGCAGUCCCUCCACCCUGAGCUUAGAGGGAAGUGUUUUUGCAUGGCCACCUUGGGCAUGCAGCUCUUGACCAUGUGCCAUUUCCUUCUAUUCUCUCAUCCCCUGUUUUCUUGAAAAUAAUCUUCUUAAAUCCCAUUUUCAAUAAAAUUUGGUUGCCAUUUUCCUUCCGGCAAGCCACUUGUGCAUUUUCUUUGUUUUUAAAAUGUUUUAAAAAUAAGUAAGAAUUAAAUUCCGUAAUUCCAAGUGAUGGAAUUUAUGGAAUUGAUUCAUGCAAAAAUGAAUUGGGUCUUGGUGGGGGCCCUACAUAUGAGAUUCCAUGAUUGAUUGAUUUAUUUGUCAUGCAUGAUUGAUUUACUCUAUUCCUUGAUAUGCGCUUAAUUAUAUAUGUUCAUUGUUCACUAACCAUGUUUCAUGAUAGCGCAUUCGUGAUUGCCGCCCAGGUACGCAUCUAUUCAUAUUUUGCUCAUUCUUUAUACAUGCUUUGUCUCUCAUAUGUGCAUGAUUGAUUCGAGUAUUCAUUGAUUUUCUCAUUGAUUGUCAUGUCAGCUUCAUCUCAUUAGUAGAGACCCGACUUUAGGGACUUAGAGGGGUGCUACGGUCCAUACCGUACCUUCCCAAUAAGUAACCUGACCCCUGAACCCGAUCCGAUUUUUCACAGACCACCUUUUCCAAAAUAAGGAGUCACACUUAGGGUUUUUCUUUCUUAUUUUGUUUACCCUUUAAAAAUAAAACAAAAAUAAGUGGCGACUCCAAGUCAUUUUCAAAUAAUCAAUAAAAAUCAUUUUUCAAAUAAAAAUCGAGCUCGUCAUCGAGUGGGAAACGCAUUGAGCCGAAAUGCGGGGUCCACAAAGUGAUCUUGAAAAUUAUAAGUUAAUUAUGUUUACUUGAAUAAGAGAUUUGAAUAAUCUUGUAAAAAGAUGAUGUUUGUCGUUUAAGUGGAAGGUUGAUUUAGAAAUUAUCAUACAGGGAAAUGGAAAAAAAUACUAUUAUUUUGGUACAAGACCAUAUUAUUCAGUGGUGUCUCUAGAAAGUUCCAUUAGAUGCUAUUAAACAAUUAAUUUGGUGUCUCACUUGCAUAAUUUUGAGUUAUUGGAUUUUGGGUUUUGCAGACUCUAAUCUCCGGAGGUAACGACACAACUGUUGUCUCUCUGACAUGGGCACUCUCUCUUGUACUAAACAACCAUGACACCUUAAAAAAAGCUCAACAAGAAUUAGACAUCCAAGUUGGGAAGGAAAGAUUAGUGAAUGAACAAGAUAUAGGUAAGUUGGUCUAUCUCCAAGCCAUUGUUAAAGAGACAUUACGGUUAUAUCCAUCAGGACCACUUGGAGGACUACGCCAAUUUACCGAGGAUUGCACCUUAGGUGGAUACCAUGUCUCUAAAGGCACCCGUUUAAUAAUGAACCUUUCGAAGAUCCAAAAGGAUCCAAGAAUUUGGUCAAAUCCAACAGAAUUCCAACCAGAGAGGUUUCUCACCACCCAUAAAGAUGUUGAUCCUUGGGGAAAACAUUUUGAAUUUAUACCAUUUGGAGCUAGUCGAAGAGUAUGUCCAGGAAUAACUUUUGGUCUUCAAAUAUUACAUUUAACAUUAGCUAGUUUCUUACAUGCGUUUGAAUUUUCAACUCCAUCAAAUGAAUAGGUCGAUAUGCGCGAGAGCCUUGGACUUACAAACAUGAAAUCUACCCCACUUGAAGUUCUCAUUUCUCCACGCUUAUCUUCUUGUAGUCUUUACAAUUAAAACAUUGAAACGAAUAGGUCAAGUCGGUCUUGCUAGUCUUGGUUUAAAGACAUAUGGAGUUAGGUUCAAUCAAUCUAUGACAAGAUUUGGGAUUGUAUUAAAAGUAGGUUGGACUAAGAAUGAUGUAUAAUAAACUAAAGUACUAUUUAUGUCAAUAAAGUAUAGCUUUAUAUAUUAUUUGGUUAUCCUUGCUCUCCGUCUAGGCUCUCAUGGGUGCAAGGCCUACCCAUGAGGCCCUUUUCUCCAAAUUUGAGUCAAGUGGCUAAGGGGCUUACAACUAGCUUCUUUGCCAUAGACAAAUUUUCUUUUGUUUAUAUGUUUUAAUUGAUGCAUAUUCACUUUCUUCUUUUCUUAAUUAAAUUGCAAUAAUUAAACAUACAAUUUAAAUAAAUUUUAAAUUUUAUUUUUAACUAAAAACAAAAGUAUACAGAUACAAAUAUAUACUGCUUAAGUAAUUAAUUUUUAAAAAUUAUCCUUUGAGAACAUCUCAGACAAACUGAGACAUGCUUCCAGAGAAAUCUAAAUGUAAUGUUUUUAAAAGCUACUUUGUAAUUUUAUUUUCGAGCAUGUUGCAUAAUAUAUACUUUCCUUGAAUUGAUUUUCCAAACUAUAUUUUUAUUAGCAAUAAGGGUUAUCUACGUUUUGGAAAUUAUAAGUUAAUUAUGUUCACUUGAAUAAGAGAUUUGAACAAUCUUGUAAAAAGAUGAUAUAUAUAUAUAUAUAUAUAUAUAUAUAUAUAUAUAUAUAUAUAUAUAUAUAUAUAUAUAUAUAUAUAUAUAUAUAUAUAUAUCGUAUGGCUGAUUUGGAAAUUAUCCAAAAUGGAAAAAAAUACUAUUAUUUUGGUACAAGACCAUAUUGUUCAAUAGUGUCUCUAGAGAGUUCCAUUAGAUGCUAUCAAACAAAUAAUUUGGUGUCUCACUUGCAUAAUUUUGAAUUGUUCGAUUUUGGGUUUUGCAGGCUCUAAUUGUCGGAGGUAACAAUACAACUGUUGUCUCUUUAACAUGGGCACUCUCUCUUUUACUAAACGUACAACCACGACAUCUUAAAAAAGGCUCAAGAAGAAUUAGAUAUCCAAGUUAGCAGGGAAAGAUUAAUGAAUGAACAAGAUAUAAGUAAGUUGGUCUAUUUUCAAGCCAUUGUUAAAGAGACAUUACGGUUAUAUCCACCAAGACUACUUGGUGGACUAUGCCAAUUUACUAAGGAUUGCACCUUGGGUGGAUACCAUGUCUCUAAAGGCACCCGUUUAAUAAUGAACCUUUCAAAGAUCUAAAAGGAUCCAAGAAUUUGGUCAGAUCCAAUAGAAUUCCAACCAGAGAGGUUUCUCAUCACCCAUAAGAAUGUUGAUGAUUGGGGAAAACAUUUUGAAUUUAUUUCAUUUGGAGCUGGUCGAAGAGCAUGUUUAGGAAUUGCUUUUGGUCUUCAAAUAUUAUAUUUAACAUUAGCUAGUUUCUUACAUGCAUUUGACUUUUCAACUCCAUCAAAUGAACAUGUUGACAUGCAAGAGGCCUUAGACUUACAAAUAUGAAAUCUACCUCACUUGAAGUUCUCAUUUCUCCGGACUUAUUUUCUUGUAGUCUUUACAACUAAAACAUUGAAAUGAAGAGGUCAAAGUCGACCUAGCUAGUCUUGGUUUAAAGACAUAUAGAGUUAGAUUCAAUCAAUCUAUGAUAAGAUUUGGGACUGUAUUAAACAUAGGUUGGACUAAAAAUGAUGUACAAUAAACUAAUUAAAGUAUUGUCCAUGCCAAUAAAGUAUAACAUUAUAUAUUAUUUGGUUAGCCUUAAGGAAUGUAGCAUCAUAAUUAUUUCUUUGUUUUGUCUAAUUUAUCACCAUUUUUUCCCCUUCUCUUCUUCCCUUCUCUUCAUUAGAACAAAUAAUAUAUAGUCUUUUUAUUUUUAAAAAUCAAAUUCGAUUCCCAGUUAUAUAAGAAUUUUACUUUUACUUUAUAAUAAACUUUACUUUAAUCUUAAUAACUUUGACCAUGAUCUCCAUCAUUGAUUAAAUAUAGGGAUAAUUUCAAUCAUUUUUUCUAAGAUUGGAGUUAAAUUUACCCAUCCAUUAUUAAUUUGAAAUUUUAUUAAAUAUUUUUUUUUUCCUUUUUUUUUACAUGUAUAUCUUUUAAUUUAAAAUAAUAGUUGUCCGAUAUAUUUAUAUGAAAUUAUUUUCGAAGAGGUGAAUGAAACUAAACUUUUUUUUAAAUAUAAAAUCAUAAAAAUUUAAUAUACGCCAGCACGAUCCGGUCUAAAUAUUAUAUAUAAUUUGUGUCAUUUCAAAAAAUCAUAGAAGAUCCUUUUGGCAAGGUGGCCCCUUUGAGUAGGAAUUCUCUAAUUGGUCACUACAUAUUACAUAAUUUCAAAGAUUAUGGAGGAUCAUUUACCAAUCAUUAUCAGAAGAAGUGCUGAUUCCUGUAUAAAACUAACCAAUACGAUAUUUAGCACAUGCAAACAGAUUUGGAAGGAUCUGAAAGUCAAGCCUACGGGCCAUCCCUUUACGGCUUGUUCGAAAAAGCACAAAUUGAUGGGGUGCCACUUGCCAGCAGUCUGUUUCAAUAUCUAAAUGUUACCCAGUGGGAUUGCUUGAUAUACUUUUUGUCUCCUAGCUACCAUCUAUUAUUAUGGAGCUCCAGAGCUGGUAAGAUAAGAAUACACCCAAAAGCUGCUGGUGCAUGGCCAAUAAUCGGUCACCUCCUCUUAGGGUCACAACUUCCUGGGAUUUUUUUUUAUAAAAUUACGGUAAAUUUAAAAUUAAUUUUUUAAAAUGCGGCAUAUUGAAAAUAUGCUUGAAUAAUAAUAAUAAAAUGACAAAUAAUAAAAAGGAAAGAAAGUUGUCUUGUGGCUAUAAGAAAGAAUAAUAUAAAAGAGAGAGAUGAGGAGAGGCGGAUAGAGAGAAGAGUAGGCCGAAAAAAAAAAAAAAAAAGAGGAGAACGGGGAGGUGCUGCAAAUCUUUGGGCGUUCGAUCGUAUGACGAGCAAAACGACUUAUGUUUUGCAUGAAAGUUAAGGAGAAAAUUUUCUUUGAGGCGAGGAACAUUCCUUCAAAGUUCGAUUUUAGUUUCAAUGAUUGGAUUUUUUUAUUUGUGGUAAGAUAGUUUAAUCCUACAACUUUUGUUUAAUAUUUUGUUCUUGAAAAAAUAUUAUGAAUUUUUUUAGUGGAAGAUAAAUAUGUGUUAUUUGUGUUUUCUUUAUGUUAUUUGAAGUAUGAUUAUUCUUAAGGUUAUUAUUAUUAUUAUUGUUUUAUGAUUUACAUAUUAUUAUGAUUUUAUUUUUAAAAUUUUUAUGUUUGCAAUGAUUUAAUUGAAGAAAAACUGUUGUGUUGAUUGUUGAAAAUUAUUUAGUAUGUUGGGAAUAAAUAAAAUUUAUAUGAUUAGGGUUGAGACUAUGUUUUGAUGAUAUGUAAAUUAUUGUGAAUAUAUAUAUAUUUUAUAUUUGUAGUGAUUUAAUUGAAGAAAAAUUGUUGUGUUGUAAUUGGAAUUAUUGAUCAUGUUUGGAGUAAAUAAAAAUUAUGUCCUAGAAAAUUAUGCAUAAUAACAUGCAAGUUUAUUAUAUUUCAUAUGCAUCAUGGUUAUGUGAAAAAAAAAAUUGAUGAAAGAUUUUAUAAAAUGAAAAAGGAAAAAGAAAAUAAUGAUGAAAAGUAAAAACCUGUGAAAGAUAAAUCAAGAAGGAAAUGAGAUUUCUAGUGUAAAAAAUACAAAAAUUUAUCCCGUGAGUGUAUUUGAUAUAGAUGCAUAUCAUUAAGUGAAAACCCAAAAACAAUAGUUGAAUGUAAGCAUUUGCACCAUGUUUUCAUUUGGAAGAAGGACAUGUAUUAAAUACUUGAAUGACAUCAAUGGUAUGUUUAAAUAUAUUAUUAGAGAUUGAAAUAAUUUAUUUAUUUUGUAAGUUUAGAAUUAUUGGAUAAACCGCUAUUGACGAUUGGACCGAUGAAUGGGGCGGUUUUUCAUGAACUGCAUGGCUAAAUUCCAGCUCCAGUCUUCCUCCCAUUUUUCCUUUCAUCCAAAUAGUCCAACCUCCCCCUCCUCUUUUUCAUAGGGUCCAAGUGAAAGCCCAAUAAGCCCAGCCUUACAUUUUAAUGGCUUUUUGGCAAAACCUAAACCCAUUUAAACCCAUGGGUGGUACCUUUUUGGCAUGUACUAAUUUGAGUUAUAUGAAUUUUUGUAAUUUAAAUUAUAAUUUGUUAUUUUGUAAAAUAUUUUUUACUUAGAUUUAUGUAGAUAUUUGGGUUAAUUUGGGAUUAUAUAUUGAUCUAUUCAACUGAAAUCAUUGACCGUCAAAUUGGAUAGGAAUAACAUUUAAGGUCAACCCUUUGACCUGAUAUCACUAAUCGGAUUCUGAGUUGCCUUGAAUAGGGUGUGACUAUAAUGGAUUUUCUUCUCCAAUGCCUAAACCCUGUCAUGGUUGGAGCGUUUGCAAUACUCGUCCUCUCAUACCACCUGUUAUUAUGGAGGACUGGAGCUGGUAAGAGCAGAAUGGCACCUGAAGCUUCUGGUGCAUGGCCCAUAAUAGGUCACCUGCACCUGUUAGGUGGAUCUAAGAAUUUGCCUCACUUACUUUUUGGAACCAUGGCCGACAAGUAUGGACCAGUAUUCAGCAUCCGGCUGGGAUUAAAAAGAGCUGUGGUGGUGAAUAGUUGGGAGAUGGCCAAGGAAUGCUUCACCACCCAUGACCUGGCUCUGGCCUCCCGUCCUGAGGUUGAGGCCGCCAAAUAUUUGGGAUAUAACUAUGCCAUGUUUGCUUUCUCUCCUCACGGUGCAUACUGGCGUGAAGUGCGUAAGAUAGCUACUCUAGAGCUACUCUCGAAUCGCCGGCUAGAAUUGCUGAAGAAUGUCCGAAUCUCAGAGGUGGAGACAUGCAUGAAGGAACUAUACAAGCUUUGGGCAGAGAAGAAAAACGAAGCGGGCGUUGUUUUGGUGGACAUGAAGGAAUGGUUUGGGCACUUGACUCUGAACGUGAUUCUUAUGAUGGUUGCUGGAAAACGAUAUUUCGGUUAUACAGGCGAAAGUAAAGAGAAAGAGGCCCAGCAGUGCCGGAAAGCGAUUAGGGAAUUCUUUCGUUUGUGGGGACUCUUUGUGGUGUCAGAUGCCAUUCCUUUUUUUGGAUGGCUUGACGUGGGUGGACAUCUGAAAGCCAUGAAGAAGACUGCAAAAGAACUGGACGGUAUUGCUCAGGAAUGGUUAGAGGAACACCGGCAGCGAAAAGAUUCUGGUGAAGCUGAUGGUAACCAGGACUUCAUGGACGUGACGCUGUCCAUUCUGGGUGGUAGAGACAUUACUGAUUAUGAUGCUGAUACCAUCAACAAAGCUACAGCCCUGGUAUGCACAUUAUUCCUUUAGCAUCUUUAUAUGGUAGUAAAAAAUGAGACAUAAUUUCAUGCUUUAUCAUCUUUAGUCCAGACUCAAGAGUACUUGGGCCUGGGUUGGAAGAACUUAUUUUUGCUUUGUUUCAAGUCGAAACUAAUCAAAAGCAGCGAUUUUUAAAAGGUAAUUAUAAUAAUGGUAUUAUAAAAGUUCAAACAUAAAAUAACUUUUUGCAUAAAUCAAAAUAGAAUUUUUAUAUAUACAUAUAAAAUGUUUUUCUGAUCUUCAUAUUAAUUUUUUUAAGUCAUAACUUUUUUGAACAAAAUUAGUCAAACCAUAGAACUCUUGAACUUACAAAAAAGGGCUUUCGAUUUCUUAGAAGUAGAUACAUGUAGAUUAUGAAAGUAUGUUCCUUAGUCCGCAUGGUUUGAGGCCUCUUUGAGUGGGCUUCUAGAGUCGGUUAGACAAUUGGGCCUUUCAAAGGAUUUCCUAAAUUUACAUUUUUUUUAGCCCAACUUGAAUUUUUAUAAAAUGCUAUAUUUAUACGCGAGUUUCAUAUUCAAGCUAAACAUACCCAUUUUGAUUGGAAAAAAAAGGAAAGAAAAUGGGGCCUUUUUUCCACCCUUAAUCCUAUCACUACUUUUAAUUUUAUUUUAUUAGUUAAUGGUUUGUAUUUCACAGAUUCUGAUUGGAGGAGGCACUGACACUACAUCUGCUACUUUAACAUGGGUCAUCUCACUUUUAUUAAACAAUCCAGAUGUAUUAAGAAAAGCCCAAGAAGAAUUGGAUGCUCAUGUUGGUAAAGAAAGACUAGUAAAUGAAAUGGAUAUAAGCAAGUUGGUCUACCUUCAAGCAAUUGUUAAAGAGACAUUGAGGAUAAAUCCAACAGCUCCACUUUCAGGACCGCGUCAAUUCAUCCAAGAUUCUAUUUUAGGGGGUUACCAUAUCUCAAAAGGCACUCGUCUUAUAUUGAACCUUACCAAGAUCCAAAGAGACCCAAGAGUAUGGUUGAAUCCAAUGGAGUUCCAACCAGAUAGAUUCCUCACCACCCAUAAAGAUGUUGAUGUUAGAGGUAAACAAUUUGAGUUGACACCAUUUGGAGGUGGAAGAAGAAUUUGCCCUGG
Molecule: long non-coding RNA, 42359 nt
Filed under: Vitis vinifera (wine grape)
Lineage: Eukaryota; Viridiplantae; Streptophyta; Magnoliopsida; Vitales; Vitaceae
Description: long non-coding RNA (VVIN_LNC006037)
Source: RNAcentral